Molecule: ribosomal RNA, 205 nt
Filed under: Salmonella enterica subsp. enterica serovar Schwarzengrund
Lineage: Bacteria; Pseudomonadati; Pseudomonadota; Gammaproteobacteria; Enterobacterales; Enterobacteriaceae
Description: partial 16S ribosomal RNA
Rfam family: Bacterial small subunit ribosomal RNA
Source: RNAcentral
UUAAAUUGAAGAGUUUGAUCAUGGCUCAGAUUGAACGCUGGCGGCAGGCCUAACACAUGCAAGUCGAACGGUAACAGGAAGCAGCUUGCUGCUUUGCUGACGAGUGGCGGACGGGUGAGUAAUGUCUGGGAAACUGCCCGAUGGAGGGGGAUAACUACUGGAAACGGUGGCUAAUACCGCAUAACGUCGCAAGACCAAAGAGGGG